GACGAACGCUGGCGGCGUGCUUAACACAUGCAAGUCGAACGGAAAGGCCCUGCUUUUGUGGGGUGCUCGAGUGGCGAACGGGUGAGUAACACGUGAGUAACCUGCCCUUGACUUUGGGAUAACUUCAGGAAACUGGGGCUAAUACCGGUUAGGAGCUCCUGCUGCAUGGUGGGGGCUGGCACGUUUCGGCGGUUGGGGAUGGACUCGCGGCUUAUCAGCUUGUUGGUGGGGUAGUGGCUUACCAAGGCUUUGACGGGUAGCCGGCCUGAGAGGGUGACCGGCCACAGUGGGACUGAGAUACGGCCCGGACUACUACGGGAGGCAGCAGUGGGGAAUAUAGCACGAUGGGCGGAAGCCGGAUGAAGCAACGCCGCGUGCGGGAUGACGGCCUUCGGGUUGUAAACCGCUUUCGCCUGUGACGAAGCGUGAGUGACGGUAAUGGAUGAAGAAGCACCGGCUAACUACGUG
RNAcentral lists this ribosomal RNA (468 nucleotides) under uncultured bacterium. RNAcentral describes it as "partial 16S ribosomal RNA". It matches the Rfam family "Bacterial small subunit ribosomal RNA", at positions 28 to 507 of the family's 1533-position model. The record is from RNAcentral.